GACGUAGGGCGCAAGCGUUGUCCGGAUUUAUUGGGCGUAAAGAGCUCGUAGGCGGCUUGUCGCGUCGACUGUGAAAACCCACGGCUCAACUGUGGGACUGCGGUCGAUACGGGCUAGCUAGAGUUCGGUAGGGGAGACUGGAAUUCCUGGUGUAGCGGUGAAAUGCGCAGAUAUCAGGAGGAACACCGGUGGCGAAGGCGGGUCUCUGGGCCGAUACUGACGCUGAGGAGCGAAAGCGUGGGGAGCGAACAGG
Molecule: ribosomal RNA, 253 nt
Filed under: uncultured bacterium
Lineage: Bacteria
Description: partial 16S ribosomal RNA
Rfam family: Bacterial small subunit ribosomal RNA
Source: RNAcentral